Molecule: RNA transcript, 3618 nt
Organism: Hevea brasiliensis (rubber tree)
Lineage: Eukaryota; Viridiplantae; Streptophyta; Magnoliopsida; Malpighiales; Euphorbiaceae
Gene name: putative disease resistance protein RGA3
Exons: 7
Source: RefSeq, a predicted model, not a curated record
UGCGGGUGAAAUGGCUUUCUAUAUAAUAUGAGAUGCUGAUUUGGAGUUCAUUACUUCAUUACCCAAAACCAAACUCAAACCUUUAAACAGAUCUUUUGCUCCUCCAUACGAUGGCUUUAGAAUCAUUUGCUUUCAAUGUUGCCCAGAAAGUCCUUGAAAAGCUAGCUUCCAAAGCCUACCAAGAAAUUUCAAUUGCAUGGGGUGUUCAAGGGGAACUGAAAAAGCUUGAGGAUGUCUUGAUGACUGUUAAAGCUGUGCUGUUGGAUGCCGAGGAGAAACAAGUGAGCAAUAAUGAUGUGCGAGUGUGGCUGAUUAAGCUUAAAGAUGUUCUUUAUGAUGCUGAAGAUGUACUCGAUGAAUUUGAAUGUGAGACUCAGAGAAAGCAAUUGCUUAAAUUAUAUGGAAGCACCACCAAAAAGGUGGGUCGCCUUUUUUCAUCCUCUAAUCCACUUGCUUUCUCUUUUAAAAUGGGUCAUAAAAUAAAACAAAUAAGAGAGCAAUUAGAUGAAAUUGCAUCUCAUAAGGCUAAGUUUCAUCUUAAUGAACGAGAUGAAGGUAGGCGUUCUAUGCCUAAGGAAAGAGCGAUGACCCACUCCUUUGUAAAUGUGUCUGAUAUUAUAGGAAGAGAUAAGGAUAAAGAAAAUAUCAUCAGACUUUUACAAAAGCCUAAUGAUGGUGGAAAAAUCGAUGUUAUUCCUAUUGUUGGAAUUGGUGGUUUGGGGAAGACUGCACUCUCUAAAUUAGUUUAUAAUGAUGAACGAGUACAAAAUCAUUUUCAACUUAAGAUGUGGGUAUGUGUAUCAGAAGAUUUUGACAUAAAAAAUUUGAUUGAGAAAAUUAUUAAAUGUGCCACCAGUGAUGGAGAGAACAGAAGCAAUUUGGAAGUGGAACAAUUGCAAAAAAUCUUGCGAGAAAAAAUUGGUGAUAAAAAAUACUUUCUCAUUUUAGAUGAUGUGUGGAAUGAAGAUUCUAUGAGGUGGGAUCCAUUACAAGAGCUUUUGUUUACAGGUGCUAAUGGAAGCAAAAUUUUAGUAACUACGCGUAGUAAGAAAGUAGCCUCCAUUAUGAGCACCAUUUCAGAACCAUAUGAGUUAUCAGGUCUUCCGCAUGAUAAGUGUGUGGCUUUGUUUACUAGAUGUGCAUUUAAAGAAGGUGAAGAGAAGCACUAUCCAAACUUGUUAAAAAUUGGGGAUGAAAUUGUGAAAAAAUGCAAAGGGGUUCCAUUAACAGUGAAGACAUUAGCAUCACUUCUUUUAACAAAUAAAGAGGAAAGUUAUUGGAAAUUUAUAAGAGAUAGUGAGUUGUGGAAAAUAGAGCAAAAGGAAAAUAACAAAAUUUUACCUGCUUUGAAAUUAAGUUAUGAACAAUUGCCUGCUUAUUUAAAAAAGUGCUUUGCUUAUUGUUCCUUUUAUCCAAAGGACUAUGAGUACCCAAGUUUUGUAUUAAUUCAAUUUUGGAUGGCACAUGGACUUCUUGAAUCAACAAAUGACAAUGAAGAUUUAGAAGAUAUUGGGUGGCGCUAUUUUCAGGAGUUGGGGUCUAGGUCUUUUUUUCAAGAUUUUGAGGACCGUGAUUGGUUUAUUGUGUGUAAAAUGCAUGAUCUAGUGCAUGAUCUUGCAUUAUCAUUGACACAAAAUGAAUUUUCAGCAAUAACCUCAACCACCACACACAUCUCAAAGAGUGUCCGCCAUCUGUUAUUUCCCGACUUCACUUCACUUCCCCAUGGUCUUUCCACUCUCUUACAAGAUUUAGAGCAUGUGCGAACUGCUCUAUUUAUGAGUGAGGAAAUCAGUCAAUCAGCCUUGGAUUUAUGUUUGUCAAGAUUAAAAUAUUUGCGGAUGUUGGACUUGUCAGAAUCCCAAUUAGAGGUACCGCUGGAAAGGAUUGGGUCUUUAAAGCAUUUGAGGCUUUUAUUUUUACCUGAAAUUAAAAAGGUCCCCAAUUCUAUUUGCAAGUUACAGAAUUUACAAUCUUUGUUACUUCAAACUGAGGAGUUGCCCAAUGAUAUAAGGUACUUGAUCAGCCUUAGAUUUCUAAGUUUUUCCACAAAGCAGAAGUGUUUGGCAAAGAAUGGACUAGGCUGCUUGACUUCUCUUAGGUUUUUGUGGAUUGUUGGCUGUGAAAAUUUAGAAUACUUGUGUGAAGAUAUGCAAGGCCUCAAACAUCUUCGAACACUGAUUAUUACCGGAUGUGAAAGCUUAAUCUCUUUGCCUCAAAGUAUGAAAUACCUCACUGCAUUGGAGACUCUUCGUAUCGAGUAUUGUGAAAACCUCAAUUUGACGAUGGAAGAAGGGAAAGCCGAUCAAGACUUGGCUCGAUUCAACCUUCAAAGGCUGAUACUCAAAAAGUUACCAAAAUUGGUAGAGUUUCCAGAAUGGCUUCUUCGAGGAUCCACCAACACUCUGCAACUCUUAAAACUAGAUUGGUGUAGAAACCUCAAAGAAUUGCCUGCGUGCCUCCAGAAUAUAGUAUCUCUUCAACAAAUUGUGAUUGAGGAUUGUGAUGAAUUGAGCGAAAGAUGUGAACGUGGAAAAGGUGAAGAUUGGUCCAAGAUUGCUCAUAUCCCUAAAAUUGUUCUUGACGGUUCUGAGAUCAAUUCAACAGAUGAUUCUCACAUCGAUUCAACAAGUGAAGAUUAGAUAUCAUGGCAACUCUGCUGAAAAUGCCAACUGCUGAAUGUGACAAUUUGUUUUCUCUGUUCACCAACCCAAUUUCGAUGUCUGUGAUCGGCCGCUGUUUACUCUGGAGAAGCAAAGAUGGCUACAAAGGGGCUUCCAGAAUCAUCAGAUUCUUGAGUCAACAUGACUACAUCAGAGAUCAAAUCAGUGCUUGUCGAGAAAUACCAGGCUUCUACAUUCAACAAAAACAAGGAAAAGAUUACAAGAAAUCACGUGCACUAUCUUGCAGGAAGAACAUAUCAAUGAAUCAAACACAAGUUAUCCCAGCUGGUGGAAGCAGUUAAGCACAUUGACUCAUUGUUCAUCCAUAAACAUGUCCAGAGACUUGGGUACUAUUGGAUGAGAAUGUUGUUCUGCAUUAUGGUAUGCAUAGGUGCUGGGCUCUCUUUGGGAGAGGAGAAUGUGCUGGGUUUCUAUAUGGCUUCAUCCCUUUAAGGCUUACCUUUUUCCAUGGAGGAAAAAAAAGAGUGGAAGACUUUAGUCUAUGGGUCUUUCAUAGACUCUCAGUUUGGACGUCCUCAUCCACUUUCCUUUUGGUCUGCUCCACCUGAUAGUGUGAAACUAAACAUCAAUGGCUCUUCGUGAGGGAAACCUGGUCCCUGUUCCAUUGGGGGUUUUCUCCGUGAUCACAGAGGUUUAUACAAUUGUCUCUUCCAAGUGAUGCAAAUUUGGCUGCAGAUUGUUUAGCUAAGCAGGGUCACCCUCGCAUGUCUUCAUAGCUUUCUUUUAGAAUAGUCUUUUCUGAUUUCCUAUGAUUUGAGUUUAGUUGAAUUGUACAUUUUCUUUUUGGGUUCUUAUUGGGGUGAGGCGUUUGCUGCUUUAGGUCCGGUCUUGUGGGGAAUGCCUGUUGGCAUGGGUUAGGUUGCAGCUCUCCUCAUCUUUUGUGUCUCUCUUUUUCUUUAAUGAAAUUUCUUGCUUAUCAAAAGAAAAGUCCAAUUCA